UGGGGAAUAUUGCACAAUGGGCGCAAGCCUGAUGCAGCCAUGCCGCGUGUAUGAAGAAGGCCUUCGGGUUGUAAAGUACUUUCAGCGAGGAGGAAGGCGUUGUGGUUAAUAACCGCAACGAUUGACGUUACUCGCAGAAGAAGCACCGGCUAACUCCGUGCCAGCAGCCGCGGUAAUACGGAGGGUGCAAGCGUUAAUCGGAAUUACUGGGCGUAAAGCGCACGCAGGCGGUAUGUCAAGUCGGAUGUGAAAUCCCCGGGCUCAACCUGGGAACUGCAUCCGAAACUGGCAGGCUAGAGUCGUGUAGAGGGGGGUAGAAUUCCAGGUGUAGCGGUGAAAUGCGUAGAGAUCUGGAGGAAUACCGGUGGCGAAGGCGGCCCCCUGGACAAAGACUGACGCUCAGGUGCGAAAGCGUGGGGAGCAAACA
RNAcentral lists this ribosomal RNA (427 nucleotides) under uncultured bacterium. RNAcentral's name for it is "partial 16S ribosomal RNA". It matches the Rfam family "Bacterial small subunit ribosomal RNA", at positions 355 to 774 of the family's 1533-position model. The record is from RNAcentral.